CUCUCGCUGUCAGCUCUGUUCGUUUUUGUGUUGUUUGCGUCUAUUUUCGUCUCUGUCAGCUCACUGCUUGUGUAUGACCGCCAAACACUGUUGGAUCUUUGCUACUUUCCCACUGAUAUGAUCAACUUCGACGUUGGUUUUUCGUCGUCCCAGUCAGCUUUUUCACCUGGCCGGAUUCCUGCCUUCCUUUCCCGCCUCUUGGCUCUUCUCCCCCGCCACCUGCGGGCUGUGUGUCGGGCCCCACCUGUAUUAGCUGCGCCCUUGCACGUGCUGGCCCCGGCCAGGUUCGGUAUUGUGAACGCAAGAUCUUUGACACACAAAACGUUUAUCCUGAAGGAUUUCUUCACUUCCCGCAGGCGGCGGACUUGACUUCCUCUGUGUGACGGAAACAUGGCUGAGAGCCGGUGAGUCCGCCCCUCUUAAUGAACUUCUGCCUCCGGAGUGUUCCUACUUUAAUUCUCCGCGGCCGUCCGGUCGAAAAGGAGGAGGAUUAGCAGUCGUUUUUAAAAAGGACUUUAAAUGCCGUAAGAUCCGCCUGCAAUCCUCCCUUUCAAGCUUCGAACUGUGCAUGUUUGAGCUGGAGGGGGCCUGGCCUCCAGCUCCAGCUGAAUUUCGGGAGAUUUUCGGGAGAACAUUUCUUCCGCGAGGUUUUCGGGACAGGCGCUGAAUUUCAGAAGUCUCCCGGAAAAUCCAGGAGGGUUGGCAACCGGGUGUUGACGCGCAGUGUCUCGGGGAAGUCGACGGCAGCUGUACGGGAGGCCCAAGCUCAGCUGAUACCCGAACAUAUUUGUCUUUCAGUAUGUGCGGGUGCCAAAUUACUGCCCCAGCCACCCAGAGAACUCAACCCAAAACAGCAGGUGCGGUGCCCAGCAAACAAAGGACCACUGGCGCCACGCAGUGAGGCCGGGCAGCGUCAGCAUCGUGGUGCCACCCGG
Long non-coding RNA from Nerophis ophidion (straightnose pipefish), 935 nucleotides. RefSeq lists it as uncharacterized. The record is from RefSeq and is a predicted model, not a curated record. NCBI's taxonomy places the organism in Eukaryota, Metazoa, Chordata, Actinopteri, Syngnathiformes, Syngnathidae. The transcript is spliced from 3 exons.